AUUUAAGUAAUUUAAUAAAAAUAUUGAUUUGUGGCGUCAAAAAUGUAAAUUGUUACCUUAAAUU
RNAcentral lists this transfer RNA (64 nucleotides) under Habrodera capensis. Its description in RNAcentral is "tRNA-His". Lineage: Eukaryota; Metazoa; Arthropoda; Insecta; Coleoptera; Carabidae. The record is from RNAcentral.